UCUGGGGAGGUGACAGAGUCCUUGAGAGCUGUGUGCUCUCAUUUUUUGCUUCAGCCCCACUACACACUCUGAGGCCGAAGUCAUCACAACACCAUUUUCUCUGGCUCCAAGUCAGGCCCAGGCUCUCCUCCCACCAACUACUGAGUGCCACACUGGACGGCUGCUGCACUCAGGAGAUGUGAGAGGACAGGAAGAGGCCCAACCCGGCAAAGGUGAAAUCGGUGAGUUGUACCUCUGGAAGCUGACUCAGGACUGGUGGCUGUCUGUGUGGAGAAGCCAGGCCGGAGCAGCAUGCUAUGACAGUGUGUGUACUACAGACUUGUGCUGGAAAUGGCGACACAAACGUAGCUAAUGCCUGAACACCUGGGAAGUCACAAACCAGCCCAGCAGCCAAAACAGACAUGUUAACCCUCUGGAAACACCCUCACAGACAUGUGAUGGACCACCCACAUUCAAGGUAGGUCUUCCCUCCUCAGUUAACAUCAUGGAAACACCCUCACAGACAUAUAGGAUGGACUGCCCACAUUCAAGGUAG
Jaculus jaculus (lesser Egyptian jerboa) is the source of this 535-nucleotide long non-coding RNA. RefSeq lists it as uncharacterized. NCBI's taxonomy places the organism in Eukaryota, Metazoa, Chordata, Mammalia, Rodentia, Dipodidae. The record is from RefSeq and is a predicted model, not a curated record. The transcript is spliced from 3 exons.